UCUAUUUUAUUGGGGAUAUAUGCUAACUGUUCUUUGUUUUUUUUCACAGUACUUUUCCUUGGAGUUUUCAAAUCUCUAAUAAGAGUGAGGUCGGGUAGCUGACUAUAUCUCUUGACUUACAUGAAGUGAUAGCCCCAACUUAACCAAAUCUAUGGCCACUAACCUCUAUAUGCAAUUUGGUCUUGGCCUGGACGACCUCACCUUUCCCUGAGUCAUCUUGUUGAAAGCUCAGGAACUAGCCCCGGUCUCCUCAUGCUUAGGUUAACUGGGUGAGGUGCUUAAAGCAGUCAUAUGCAUCAUAAUGGAAGGAAAUGGGUCUUUACGACCUAAUUCAGUUGUCCUUAGCUUAUGUCGACAUCUCGAUCGAGCUUCUGAUGGCCUUCUUAAGUUUCUAGGCUUCGGGCUGCAAUGCCUUCAUAUUUGAGUUUAGCCCCAUGUCUAUCACGUUAUGGGACAUCUUCAUGUACCUAGGGCUGCCCAUUACCGAGGAGGAGAACUUUUAUGCAAUCUUCAAUAAGCAUGACUCCUACACUACUCUCCUAGUCGAUUUAGAGAGUAAGAUUAAGAGCGCAGGCUCCUAUACAAAGAUCAUGGAGUUGUUCUCUGAGAAACCAGUUGACAAGUUCGUCACCCCUACAAAGCACCUAGUUUUCAUCUGAAUCUUGUCGAGCCAAUAGAUCCUAGCCUCGGGGGGAGAGAAGCUCGUGUAGCUACAUCUGAGGAUUGCCCAGUCUCUUCUCUAUGGCAAUCAACUAGCCUUAGGGACAAUGUUUCUAUGCCACCUCUGUGACGGCAUGAGGGAGUCAUUGAUGAAGAAACCUUUUGGCAACUUCUAUGGGCCUGUCUAGUUUUUGAAACUGUGGAUGACAACCUACUUCCCCCUUCUCUAACGGGAACCCUUUCCUAACGAUUCCCACGCCAACCAUUCCCUCACCUGCUUCUGGGUGGUCAUUUACUGACUGACUCGAAGAACUUCUUCGAGUUCUUUAGUCAAUAGAGCUAGUCCUUGGGAAGGACCUUGAAGGCUUUCAACAUUCCAAACUGCCGUCUUCCUACCUGGUAUAAAUAUCUAGUGGACCAAAAGAAUAAGCCCACCAAAUUAUUAAGGGAUGAGGUUUUCCUCUCAGCCACUACUCCGAGAAAGAUGUGGCGGUUGCACACUGGUUCUUCCUUCAAGUCCCUGAAGGUCUACUUAGAGUCGUAUCAUCCUCAACUAGUGGUGGGCCAGUUUGGAUUAAGCUAGUAUAUCUCUCAAGGGCUAUCCCCCCAAAUCAGUGUGGAGUUGCUGGAUCUGGAGGCCAUCGACUAGAUAGUCGUUCCAUAUACCACCUAGAGGCAGUGUAAGGUGGAGCUUAUAGAUAGAGAUGCUUGCCUCCAUUUUAAUAAAUGGUGGCCCCCAUACUUUAGGCAUAUAAUAAAGAGCCAUACUAGCUGUGAUUGGAUAUAAUCUCACAUGCUGAUGACAUUCUUGAAGGGAAACAUUAAUGCCCCCACUGCUUAAGAGACCUAGACGGCCCCUUCACUAAGGACUGUGGUCCAAGGGAUAGAUCAGGAUAACGCAUCCUCCUAAGUCUCAGUCUUAAAGAAGCUUGGGGCUGAGAAGAUCCCCUCCUCAAGUCGCCUAGAUAAAGGAGAUGGUCUUGACAAGAGGAAGCAAACUUCAUCUCUAUCACCCAAUGCUAAGAGGAGGAAGAAGAUAAUGCCUCCUCCCUUUAAUCAACCUUCCUCCACUCCUCUUUCAAUUAGUCCUACUCCCUAGAAGGGAAAGCGUAUGCACAAGCGCUAAUGGACGAUAAUCUUGUUGGCAAAAUCUGAUGACGGCAGGAUCAGUCCCUUUCAAUAUGGAGAGAUAGAGACCUAACUCCCAGACCCCCCAGUGGUCACUUCCUUUGCCUCUACCAUCCUUAAGCCAAUCUCCAUAGAUUGAACUAAAGUUUCUUAAGACAUAGCCCGAGAGUUAAUGGACUAUGCUGAAGAUCUAGGGGUCACCAUGUCUGCCUCGACCCCAGGUAGUGCUAAUGGUCUAGAAGAUCUCGUAGUUGCUAUUGGCUAGGGAGAAGGUUUCACUACAGUCUCGAGUGGUGAGUUGGGGCUUAGGGCUAAUGAAUUUCAAGGUCUUGUGUCUACUGAGGCCUCAAGGAUGGUUCCUCCCAUUAGUUCAGCCCUGCCCACCAACUCAACAAGUGCCCUAGAGAUUGGGGGCUCUGGGAGGCCCUUGAAAGGACUUCAGGCGAUGACUAUAAGGAAUGUGAUAAUCGCCCUGGCUUCCACUCAAGGCAUCUCGAUACGGGGUCAAAUUGACUCCUCCAUACUUAGGGCUAUGUGGAGAAGGCCUUAUGAUCAGCUGUGCGGUCUGCACAUACCCUUCCACCUUCCACGAGUAAAGACAAAACACUCAUGGACCUUAUUCAACUUGCUUCCUCGAAGGUGGUUCCUACUGACGCUCUUCUAGCCCGCAUCUAUGUCCUUGAAAUGGACAUGGUGUUAGAUGCUUGGAGGGUCAUGCAAUUUCAACUUAGCUAAGUCCUACUCCUCAUUCCCAAGCAAAAUUACGAGGAGAUGAUUUGAGCUCUAAAGGUUGUGGAGAAGGCAAUCUCCAUGCCUGAGCUGGCGCUCCUUUGAGCUCAAGUCCUGACGUGCUACAGUAUCAUCAACUGGUGCCAUAAAGAAUUCUCCUUUCUUUCAGACUAUUUGAAAAACUAUUGGUCUGUGAGGGAUGAGUAUCUUGCCACCAAGACUCAUACGAUUGAUGCUACUGAUUGGUUCCAGGAGAUUGCCCCUCGCGUGGAUCACUUUCAGGUGUUACGGGCUAAGGUGGUGAAUUUGAGGUGCCAACUAGUAGUAGCUGAAAAGGAAUUAGCAAGGGCUGAAACUAAAGACAAUCCAACUAAGUUCAAGCUAGAGAUCUUAACUAAAGCUCUAGAUGAUACAUGGGCUGUUUCAAAUGAAAAGCUUCAUUCCGCGAUUGAAUUUAAGAUGGCUUUAGUCACUAUCAAACCCUAUCUGAAAAGCUAGACUCGGCUUUAGGGACUUGGGAGACCAUCUGUACUAUUUCUAAAUAGUGGGCAUAUGUACUGUACUCUUCAUUCUUUAUUCUUUAAUCUGUACUAUAUGCCCCUUGUAACAUAAUUCAU
Long non-coding RNA from Prosopis cineraria, 3134 nucleotides. RefSeq lists it as uncharacterized. Lineage: Eukaryota; Viridiplantae; Streptophyta; Magnoliopsida; Fabales; Fabaceae. The record is from RefSeq and is a predicted model, not a curated record. The transcript is spliced from 3 exons.